This 293-nucleotide ribosomal RNA is filed under the name uncultured bacterium. RNAcentral describes it as "partial 16S ribosomal RNA". It matches the Rfam family "Bacterial small subunit ribosomal RNA", at positions 775 to 1067 of the family's 1533-position model. The record is from RNAcentral.
GGAUUAGAUACCCUGGUAGUCCUAGCCGUAAACGGUGCACACUUGCUGUAGGCGGAUUCGACCCCGUCUGUGGCGGAGCAAACGUGUUAAGUGUGCCGCCUGGGGAGUACGGUCGCAAGAUUAAAACUCAAAGAAAUUGACGGGGGCCUGCACAAGCGGUGGAGUAUGUGGCUUAAUUCGAUGCAACGCGAAGAACCUUACCUGGCCUUGACAUGCAUCUCUAAGUGUGUGAAAGCACAUGACCCCUCGGGGAAUUUGCACAGGUGCUGCAUGGCUGUCGUCAGCUCGUGCCG